GUUUCUGUAGUGUAGUGGUCAUCACGUGCGGUUCACAUGCGCAAGGUCCCAGUUCGAAUCUUAGAAUUU
This is a non-coding RNA of Paramuricea clavata, 69 nucleotides long. NCBI's taxonomy places the organism in Eukaryota, Metazoa, Cnidaria, Anthozoa, Malacalcyonacea, Plexauridae. The record is from the annotation of a GenBank genome assembly.